Molecule: ribosomal RNA, 1472 nt
Filed under: uncultured Bordetella sp.
Lineage: Bacteria; Pseudomonadati; Pseudomonadota; Betaproteobacteria; Burkholderiales; Alcaligenaceae
Description: partial 16S-23S ribosomal RNA intergenic spacer
Rfam family: Bacterial small subunit ribosomal RNA
Source: RNAcentral
GGCUCCGUUGAACGCUGGCGGGAUGCUUUACACAUGCAAGUCGAACGACGGCACGGACUUCGGUCUGGUGGCGAGUGGCGAACGGGUGAGUAAUGUAUCGGAACGUGCCCUAGUAGCGGGGGAUAACUACGCGAAAGCGUAGCUAAUACCGCAUACGCCCUUCGGGGGAAAGCGGGGGACCUUCGGGCCUCGCACUAUUAAGAGCCGGCCGGUAUAUCGGAUUAGCUAGUUGGUGGGGGUAACGGCUCACCAAGGCGACGAUCCGUAGCUGGUUUAGAGGACGACCAGCCACACUGGGACACAGAGACACAGCCCAGACUCCUACGGGAGGCAACGAUGGGGGAAUUUUGGACGUAAUGGGGAAACCCUGAUCCAGCCAUCCCGCGUGUGCGAUGAAGGCCUUCCAGGUUGUAAGCACUUUUGGCAGGAAAACGGCACGGGAUAAUACCAUUACAUGACGUACCUGCAGAAUAAGCACCGGCUAACUACGUGCCAGCAGCAGAAAGUAUGCGUAGGGUGCAAGCGUUAAUCAGAUUACUGGGCUCAAAGCGUGCGCAGCGGAUUCCGGAAGAAAGAUGUGAAAUCCAGAGCUUAACUUUGACACAUUUUUAACUACCGAGCUGAUGUGUGUGUCAGAGGGAGGUGGGAACUACGCCGAUAUCAGCAGUGAUGCGUAGAUAUGCGGAGGAACACCGAUGGCGAAGGCAGCCUCCUGGGAUAACACUGACGCUCAUGCACAGCGUGGGGAGCAAACGGAUUAGAUACCUGGUAGUCCACGCCCUAAGCGAUGUCAACUAGCUGUUGGGGCCUUCGGGCCUUGGUAGCGCAGCUAACGCGUGGCGGUUGACCAGCACACCAGAAAUACAGUCGCAAGAUUAAAACUCAAAAGAUUGGCGGGGACCCGCACAAGCGGUGGAUGAUGUGGAUCCAUUCGUCGCGCGAAAAACCUUGCACCACCGCGCCAACAUGUCUGGAAUCCCGAAAAUUUGGGGAGUACUCGCAAAGAGAACCGGAACACGGGUGCUGCAUGGCUGUCGUCAGCUCGUGUCGUGAGAUGUUGGGUUAGAGAUCCUGGCGCGAGCGCAACCCUUGUCAUUGGUGCUACGAGGGCACUCGUGGACUGCCAUUGACAAACCGGAGGAAGGUGAGGAUGACGUCAAGUCCUCAUGGCCCGCUAUGGAGUGAACUACACGUCAUACAAUGGUCGGGACAGAGGGUCGCCAACCCCGCGAGGGGGAGCCAAUCCAGAAACCCGAUCGUAGUCCGGAUCGCAGUCUGCAACUCGACUGCGUGAAGUCCGGAAUCGCCUGGUAAUCGCCGGAUCAGCAUGUCGCGGUGAAUACGUUCCCGGGUCUUGUACACACCGCCGUCACCAUGGGAGUGGGUUUUACCAAAUGCGUUACCUUCUUAACCGUAAGGAGGGCGAUUACCACGGUAGGAUUCAUGACUGGGGUGAAGUCGUAACAAGGUAA